UAAGGUGCACGAAGGUGGAGC
RNAcentral lists this unclassified non-coding RNA (21 nucleotides) under Chlamydomonas reinhardtii. Its description in RNAcentral is "small RNA Cre_2151". The record is from RNAcentral. Lineage: Eukaryota; Viridiplantae; Chlorophyta; Chlorophyceae; Chlamydomonadales; Chlamydomonadaceae.